Molecule: ribosomal RNA, 250 nt
Filed under: uncultured Actinomycetales bacterium
Lineage: Bacteria; Bacillati; Actinomycetota; Actinomycetes; Actinomycetales
Description: partial 16S ribosomal RNA
Rfam family: Bacterial small subunit ribosomal RNA
Source: RNAcentral
UGGGGUGCUCGAGUGGCGAACGGGUGAGUAACACGUGAGUAACCUGCCCUUGACUUUUGGAUAACUUCAGGAAACUGGGGCUAAUACCGGAUAGGAGCUCCUGCUGCAUGGUGGGGGUUGGAAAGUUUCGGCGGUUGGGGAUGGACUCGCGGCUUAUCAGCUUGUUGGUGGGGUAGUGGCUUACCAAGGCUUUGACGGGUAGCCGGCCUGAGAGGGUGACCGGCCACAUUGGGACUGAGAUACGGCCCAG